GCUUGUCUGCAAGAGGGUCUUUAAAGUGAGAAGGUUUAAACCUCGGGUGAUAGGUU
RNAcentral lists this transfer RNA (56 nucleotides) under Hebesoma violentum. RNAcentral describes it as "tRNA-Ser". The record is from RNAcentral. Lineage: Eukaryota; Metazoa; Acanthocephala; Eoacanthocephala; Neoechinorhynchida; Neoechinorhynchidae.